RNAcentral lists this long non-coding RNA (233 nucleotides) under Homo sapiens (human). Its description in RNAcentral is "non-protein coding lnc-TBX4-3:1". The record is from RNAcentral. Lineage: Eukaryota; Metazoa; Chordata; Mammalia; Primates; Hominidae.
CAUACAUGUAACCUCUUAGGCAUACAGCCAACACUGUCUUCUUGGAACACAGCAAACACAUUUUCUUCUUCCUUAAUGUCUGUAACACUGCUCUUAACUAUUCUCAUACAUUGGUUUCUCCCUUUUCCUAAAUAUAAAUAUUCUUAAAGGUACCCUCCUUCCUCUUUGCUUCUCUCUAAGCAUUCUCUCCACUCCCAUGGCUUGAAUUAAUUUAACAAUCUUUUUUAACCAUC